GCCUACGGGGGGCAGCAGUGGGGAAUUUUCGUCAAUGGGCGCAAGCCUGAACGAGCAAUGCCGCGUGAACGAGGAAGGUCUUCGGAUCGUAAAGUUCUGUUGAAGGGGAAAAAGAGCGGAGAGAGGAAAUGGUCUCCGAUUGAUAUUACCCUUCGAGGAAGUCACGGCUAACUACGUGCCAGCAGCCGCGGUAAUACGUAGGUGGCGAGCGUUAUCCGGAAUGAUUGGGCGUAAAGGGUGCGUAGGCGGCCUGCUAAGUCUGGAGUGAAAGGUACCGGCUCAACCGGUACAGGCUCUGGAAACUG
This 305-nucleotide ribosomal RNA is filed under the name uncultured bacterium. RNAcentral describes it as "bacterial SSU rRNA". It matches the Rfam family "Bacterial small subunit ribosomal RNA", at positions 337 to 635 of the family's 1533-position model. The record is from RNAcentral.